Long non-coding RNA from Rhagoletis zephyria (snowberry fruit fly), 998 nucleotides. RefSeq lists it as uncharacterized. Lineage: Eukaryota; Metazoa; Arthropoda; Insecta; Diptera; Tephritidae. The record is from RefSeq and is a predicted model, not a curated record.
ACGAGUAUUUAAAGUGGUCUAAUGUCCACUAACAACUUAGUGCAAAAUCUUUCUAUAUAACCUGAAGGAAAUAGGUUUUGAAUCAAAAUGCGAGGAAUUCAGUUGCAUAUUGCAUAUUGUCCAUGAUUCCAUAGUUCGUCCUUUUUUUCAGGAGCCCUUUGAUAUUUUUCGGUCCGCCUUUUAAAUACUUACUCGGUAUCACUCAAAAGUUUUUACUUGAAUUGAGCGGUCAGUCUUCUUCCUGACUCUUGGUUGCGCAUUUACUAAUACAUAUUUAUUAAAAAAAAAAGUUAUAUUCCUAAACAUUUGCUUGUUUAAGCACGGAACUGUAGUUACCUUUCCCCUUACAUAUGUAUGCAGUAAUGAACCCUAUAAGAAUUUACGCCGUGCUCUCAAUAAAUCUUUGAUUACACUUUGACUCUCCUAAAACACUGCUUUGACAACAGAAGCGAAUUAAGUGCAAGUGAAAUACGCUUGUAAAAUUUUUGGUGGUGUAGUAUGUGUAAGCAUACAGAUAAAAAUAGUAUUUGCGUUAGUAUAUAUAUGUAUGUACAUACAUACGUAUGUACAUAUGUAUAUUUUCAAAGGACGAACACCCGGCUAUAGAGAAGAGACCAUUGCAUAAACACUUUCCAUAAGUCAUUGGUGCUUGGUAGUCUAAGCAUAAGUUCAAAGUUGCCACACCGCAUAUGCUACAUUUAAGUGCAGUGUAACUUACCUAGUGCAAAACACUUUGUAUUUCAUCCAUCCAUGCAGAAGAGAGCUCCCGAGGCGAUGCAAACACCACUUUGGCAUGUAUAAAAGUGAUCCUCUUCAGCACAACUAUCCACAUACUUGUCCAAUGUUUGCUUAGAGGCUAAGCAUAAGAUACAUAAGGUGCAUUCUUUUGCAACCGAGCUACAAAAGAACACUCGCAUAAAUGACGAAAUACAUACAUGCAAAGCAACGACACAAACUAGACUAUUUAUUCGGGUUCAGCAAGGUGGGUUAAAAUAUAG